GGUGGGGUAAGAGCCCACCAGCGGGCGUGGCGACACGUCCGGCUAGGCAAACUCCCCGCGGUGCAAGACCAAAUAGGAAGGCGCUCGAGGGUGGCCCGCCCGACGAUCGCGCGCAUCGCGCGAUGGCGCCUUCGGGUAGGUCGCUUGAGCUGACGGGUGACCGUCAGCCCAGAGGAAUGACCGCCACCCCAGUUCCCCUCCGGGGAGAUGGGGGACAGAAUUCGGCUUACAGAUUCGUCCCAGAC
RNAcentral lists this RNase P RNA (245 nucleotides) under Blastocatellia bacterium. RNAcentral's name for it is "partial RNase P RNA component class A". It matches the Rfam family "Bacterial RNase P class A", at positions 161 to 367 of the family's 367-position model. Rfam says of the family: Ribonuclease P (RNase P) is a ubiquitous endoribonuclease, found in archaea, bacteria and eukarya as well as chloroplasts and mitochondria. Lineage: Bacteria; Pseudomonadati; Acidobacteriota; Blastocatellia. The record is from RNAcentral.